This is a non-coding RNA of Oryctolagus cuniculus (rabbit), 5631 nucleotides long. The record is from RefSeq and is a predicted model, not a curated record. NCBI's taxonomy places the organism in Eukaryota, Metazoa, Chordata, Mammalia, Lagomorpha, Leporidae.
UCCAAUCAGGGGCCCCGGUGAGGGUGGCCGACAACUUCGUCAUCUCCCGAGAUCCCUGUGUCAUAGUCGCGUCCCGCCUACAAUGGGUGGGGCGUCCCCGUGGUGGCUCCGCCUUCUCUGCUCUGAGAAGAGGAAGCCUGAGACCUCGCAAGCGGGAAGUGGUCCAGAAACUGCUCAGGUGUGAGUGUAGGUGGCUGAGCAACAGGCAGUCCUGCUUCUUGAUUCCCCACAAAGAUACAGGCUUUAAGGUGAUUGAUGAGGACAGAGUCCCUCAGCUAUGAAGUGACUGAAUUUUGGAAACUAUGUCCAGAACUCCACAGUGCAUAUUCAGGUGCUCUUCCUUCAGGCCUGCAGGUGGACAGCAAGAGCAACAAGAAUACCAUGGAGAGGAGGUGAUUAUAACAACUUCCUUAUAAAAGCAGUUACAGCUGGGGCACCUGAAGAAGACUUCAGGACGGCUGAGCAGUUCCCCUUGGGUGGUUUGGGAGUUGCCAUGGCUACUGCUUCAUGCACUCCCUGAGGAAGAUGCUGGCCACUGUCUCCCACAUAUUAUCUGGCACUGCCCAGAAGCCGGCAAGGAGAGUGCUGAUGGCAUCCUGCAACUUUGCAAAUGAUGCUACAUUCAAGAUUAAGAAAUGUGACCUUCACCAGCUGGGAUAGGGCUCUCCUUUCAUGACAGUACUCACCAGAGAGGAUGGGCUCCAAUAUUACAGGAUGAUGCAGACUGUGCGCCAAAUGGAGUUAAAGGCAGAUCGGCUAUAUAAGCAGAAGGUUAUCCGUGGUUUCUGUCACUUGUGUGAUGGUCAGGAAGCUUGCUGUGUGGGCCUGGAGGCUGGAAUAAAUCCCAGCAACCACCUCAUCAUGGCCUUUCAGGCUCAUGGCUUUACCUUCACUCAGGGCCUUUCUGUCUGUGAAAUUCUCACAGAGCUUAUGGGGUGAAGAGGAGGCUGUGCUAAGGGGAAAGGAGGAUCAAUACAUAUGUAUGCCAAUAACUUCUAUAGGGGCAAUGGCAUCAUGGGUGCUCAGGUGCCCCUGGGAGCUGGGAUUGCCCUGGCCUAUAAGUACAAUGGGAAAGAUGAUGUCUGUUUGACUGUAAGUAGCUAAAGUGGUAGAUGGUGUGGGCUCAUCACGUAUUAACAUCAGAGAUAGCCUGGGUAGGGAUUCCAACUGUUCACUUUCAAUGUUUCUUUUUAAAAUUCAGUUAGACUUGAAAAUAAUGGCAAUUCAUUAUUGUUUUAUAAACUUUCUUUGAAAGCAUUUUUAUUGGUUAAAUAAGUUAGGUCAAGAGCAGGUGUCCAGCUAAUCUUCAUAUUAGAACUUUAAAGACUUGAGGAACUAAUGAUCUAUGCCUCUCUAAUGAUUGAGUUGAUCUGAAUGUUUUCAGAAUUGCCAAAGCACAGAUGCAUGUUAAAGAGAUUAGGAAAAGAAAACAACCAAAAAAAGAGAAGCACAUUGCAGUCAAAUAUGUCACAUGUCUCUACAUCUCAAUAAGGAUGAUGACUCUUUUGUGCAGAGUUACAUGUCACUGAAAAGCCUAUGAUCAAAAAUAGUUGCUAUGGUUGACAGGUGAGACCACAAAGUGGAAGAAGUCUAAUCUUGAGCCACACAUAUGUUUGAGAAACAUCCUAGUGACCAUUUAUUUACAGCAACAAGCUUGGUCAUUCAUUAGUAACCAAAGCAGGAAGAAGUCAUCUGACAUUAGUGUAUACAUUUAUUCAUUUCUACUUGAAUUUACAAACUCUUGAAAGAUUUAGUUGUUAGAUGUCUAUGCUUGUUCAGAAAAUGAUAAGUAAAUUUUAUUUAGAAUAUUAUUAGUGAAGAAAUUUAGUAUAUGUUAUCAUAUACAUUUUUCAUAUUUUCUUGAGGAGGAUAGAACAUUUAUUAUUAAUCCUAGGGGCUGGCACUGUGGCAUAAUGGGCAAAGCCAGUGCCUGCAGUGCUAGCAUCCUGUAUGGGUGCCAGUUUGAGACUUGGCUGCUCCACUUCCAAUCCAGCUCUCUGUUUUGACCUGGGAAAGCAGUAGAUGAUGGCCCAAGCCCCUGAGCCCCUGCAGCUGCAUAGGAGACUGAGAGAAAGCUCCUGGCUUCUGGCUUCAGGUCAGCACAGCUCCGGCCAUUGCAGCCAAUUGAGGAGUGAACCAGCGGAUGGAAGACCUCUCUCUCUGCCUCUCCUUCUAUCUCUUAUAACUUGACUUUAAAAUAAUAAAUAAAUCUUUAAAAUAUUAUUAAUCCUGACUAUCAGCACUGCUGAACAGAGAGAGCUUGUUCAGUGUUUAUGGAUAGGGCUGUUGGGUGGGCUGGGCCCCUUUGCAGAGGCUGCUCUGGAAUCAGGGUCAAGAAUACCAAAGGCCGGUCACCCACUGAGUGGAAGCUGAGCCACGGGAGCCACUGGACCCGCCAGACCCGCCAGACCCGCCGGAGCUGCAGAGUCUGUGCACCAGCGCUGGAAGGGGGGUGAGACCAAAACCUCUUGGUAACCUGAGACAUAGGCAGGGAAAGGCAGAAAGAGCCUUCAGAGAAUAAGGCCUGAAACCCCAUUGGGGAAAGUUCACCAGGCUGGCUGGAGGAGAGAAAAUAAUUGAAUAAAUAAGGGGAACCGGCAUGGGCAUUUAACCUCUCUCUCCACUCACCUUACAAAGCCUAGCAAGACAAAGGGCAGGUGCCAUUUUACAUAAGUAAAGCGGUGCACGCCAUUUUGCAUAGGUAAAGCAGGUGCCCCUCAUUAGCCAAGCAGGAAAACCUGACUCUUGUAAGCAAAUGAAUACCCACAGGGGCCAGAUUUCAUACAUCAACUACUCUCAAUUCCACUCAGCUGUGUGGAAUUACUUCCCGAUUCAAAAAAAAAAAAAAAAAAAAGAGCGAGCGAGAGCGAGCAAGAGAACAAUCAGGGUGAAUCACCUUUGGCACACCCUAAACCCUGUAGAAACAGAGCUCUCUGGCCACACCCAUCACAGCCUCUAAGGAUCCAUCAAAAGCAGACAGUCCUCUUAAUAAAGAGUCACAGUAUAACGAGAAAAAAACAAAUAAUAUCUCUAAUAUGCCAAACAAACACAAAGGCUGAGGUAACAAGAACAAGGAAGACACUAUGACGCCCCCAAAUGAAAUAGACACCCCAAUUCAAGAUUAUGAAGAUGAUGACAUAGAAGAAAUGCAAGAAGCAGAUCUCAAAAAAUUGAUAAGAACAUUAAGAAGUUCUCAAAAACAAAUUCUCGAACUACAGAAAUCCUUAAUGGACAAGAUAGAAAAUCUCUCUCAUGAAAAGGAAAUAUUAAGGAGGAAUCAAAAUUAAAUGAAACAACUAGUAGAAAAUGAAACUGUGAUAGUGACGAGAAAUCAUAAUGAAAUGAAAAAUUCAAUAGAUCAAAUGACAAACACAUUAGAGAGCCUUAAAAACAGAAUGGGUGAAGCAGAAGAGAGAAUAUCAGACUUAGAAGACAGAGCACAGGAAAAUAUACAAUCAAACCAAAGAAAAGAAGAGGAAAUUAGAACUCUAAAAAAUAUUGUUGGGAAUCCUCAGGAUACUAUUAAAAGACCCAACAUUCGGGUUCUAGGAGUUCCUGAAGGCAUGGAGAGGGAGAAAGGAUUAGAAGGCCUUUUUAGUGAGAUACUAGCAGAGAACUUUCUGAGUUUGGAGAAGGACAGAGACAUCCUAGUACAGGAAGCUCAUAGAACCCCCAGUAAACAUGACCAAAAGAGAUCCUCACCACGACACCUGGUAAUUAAACUCACCACAGUGAAACAUAAAGAAAAGAUCCUAAAAUGUGCAAGAGAGAAACGUCAGAUUACUCUCAGAGGAUCUCCAAUCAGAAUCACAGCUGACUUCUCAUCAGAAACCCUACAAGCUAGGAGGGAAUGGUGAGACAUAGCACAGGUUCUAAGAGAGAAAAAAUGCCAUCCCAGAAUAUUAUAUCCUGCUAAGCUCUCAUUUGUGAAUGAAGGUGAAAUAAAGACCAUUCACAACAAACAGAAAUUGAAAGAAUUUGUCGCCACUCGUCCAGCUCUGCAAAAGAUGCUUAAAGAUGUGUUACACACAGAGACACAGAAACACGGUCAUCAAUAUGAAAGAAGGGAAAGGAAGAAGACCUACCAGUAAAAGAGCAUGGGAAGCUCAAAGCAUAUAUUAGAACUUAUCUUUGGCAAAUGGCAGGGCAAAGUCACUAUGUAUCAAUAGUCACAUUAAACGUGAAUGGACUUAACUCAUCAGUUAAAAGACACCGAUUGGCUGACUGGCUUAAGGAACAAAACCUAUCUAUUUGCUGCUUACAAGAAACACAUCUUUCCAACAAAGAUCCAUACAGACUGAAAGUGAAAGGCUGGAAGAAGAUAUACCGUGCUAACAGAAAUGAAAAAAGAGCGGGCGUAGCCAUAAAUAUUACCACAAAAACUGUUAGGAGAGACAAAGAGGGAUACUAUAUAAUGAUUAAGGGAUCAAUUCAACAGGAAGAUAUAACGAUUAUCAAUGUAUAUGCACCUAAUUACAGGGCACCGGUUUAUUUAAAAGAUUUGUUGAGGGACUUAAAGGGAGACUUAGACUCCAAUACAAUAAUACUGGGGGACUUCAAUACCCCACUCUCAGAAAUAGACAGAUCAACAAGACAGAAGAUCAACAAGGAGACAGUAGAUUUAAAUGACACUAUAGCCCAAAUGGAUCUAACAUAUCUACAGAACUUUUCAUCCUACACAGAAAGCAUUUACAUUCCUCUCAGCAGUACAUGGAACCUUCUCUAGGAUUGACCACAUACUAGGCCAUAAAGCAAGUCUCAGCAAAUUUAAAAGAAUUAGAAUCAUACCAUGCAGCUUCUCAGACUAUAAAGGAAUGAAGUUGGAAAUUAGCAACUCAGGAAUCCCUAAAGCAUAUGCAAAUGCAUGGAGAUUGAACAACAUGCUCCUGAAUGAACAAUGGGUCACAGAAGAAAUUAAAAGAGAAAUCAAAAAGUUUCUGGAAGUAAAUGAGGAUAACAGCACAACAUACCAAAACUUAUGGGAUACAGCAAAAGCAGUGUUAAGAGGAAAGUUUAUAUCAAUAGGUGCCUACAUCAAGAAAUUGGAAAGGCACCAAAUAGAUGAGCUUUCACUGCAUCUCAAGGAUCUAGAAAAUCUGCAGCAAACCAGACCCAAAUCUAGUAGGAGAAGAGAAAUAAUUAAAAUAAAAGAAGAAAUCAACAGGAUUGAAUCAAAAAAAUUACAAAAAAAUCAGCCAAGUGAAGAGCUGGUUUUUUGAAAAAAUAAACAAAAUUGACACCACAUUGGCACAACUAACUAAAAAAAGAAAAGACCAAAUAAAUAAAAUCAGAGAUGAAAAAGAAAAUGUAACCACAGACACCAGAGAAAUAAAAAGAAUCAUCAGAAAUUACUACUAGGACCUAUAUGCCAGCAAACAGGGAAGCCUAUCAGAAAUGGAUAGAUUCCUGGACACAUGCAACCUACCUAAAUUGAACCAGGAAGACAUAGAAAACCUAAACAGACUCAUAACUGAGACAGAAAUUGAAACAGUAAUAAAGGCCCUCCCAACAAAGAAAAGCCCAGGACCAGAUGGAUUCAUUGCUGAAUUCUACCAGACAUUUAAAGAAGAACUAACUCCAAUUCUUCUCAAACUAUUCAGAACAAUCAAAAAAGAUGAAAUCCUCCCAAAC